Molecule: unclassified non-coding RNA, 147 nt
Organism: Macaca mulatta (Rhesus monkey)
Lineage: Eukaryota; Metazoa; Chordata; Mammalia; Primates; Cercopithecidae
Rfam family: Metazoan signal recognition particle RNA
About the family: The signal recognition particle (SRP) is a universally conserved ribonucleoprotein. It is involved in the co-translational targeting of proteins to membranes. The eukaryotic SRP consists of a 300-nucleotide 7S RNA and six proteins: SRPs 72, 68, 54, 19, 14, and 9.
Source: Ensembl
GCCGGGCGCGGUGGCGGGCGCCUGUAGUCCCAGCUACUCGGAGGCUGAGGCAGGAGAAUGGCGUGAACCCAGGAGGCGGAGCUUGCAGUGAGCCGAGAUCGCGCCACUGCACUGUAGCCUGGGCAACAGCGUGAGACUCUGUCUCAA